Molecule: non-coding RNA, 2212 nt
Organism: Drosophila suzukii
Lineage: Eukaryota; Metazoa; Arthropoda; Insecta; Diptera; Drosophilidae
Source: RefSeq, a predicted model, not a curated record
GUAAACGUCAUAUUUCUCGGAUAUUCCUUCUGGCCCCAAUGUGAAAUUUAGAAAUGUAAAUUUACAAAUGCUAUUUCGAAGCCAGAUCGACUCUCCCUCAACUGUUCAAGCACAACAGAGAAGGCAGCCAUGUCGAAGGAAGACACCGGCGCAUCCAGUGCGGAGGCGAGUCCAGCCGAGUCGGAGAUUGCGAUGGGUCGCGGACCGCGUCCAAAGUCCUUCAUUGGUGGUGGAGGAAGUGGAGGUGGAGGCGGUACUGGUGGGGGCAGUACAGGUGGAAGUGGACGUAGUGGAACCUCCGGUGGCAACUUCCCUAAAUCCGAAAGGAGCUCGCGAGAAGAUGACGCAGUCGACCGGGCGACGGAUUCCAGUUCAACGCACCGGAAACUGAUGAGCGAUCCGCGCUUCCGUAUCCGGCCGCUGCAGCAGGUGAUAUCGGCCUGCGCGGGGGCCAUGAUCACGGCCUGCUUCAUGACCCCGCUGGACGUGAUCAAGACCCGCAUGCAGUCGCAGCAGUCGCCGGCGCACAAGUGCUUCUUCUACUCGAAUGGCCUGAUGGACCACCUCUUCUCGAGCGGCCCCAACGGCCCCGAGUUGGCCAGCCUGCGGCCGAGGCCACAGUUCACCAGCACCUGGGAUGCCCUGAUCAAGAUCAGCCGGCACGAGGGACUGGGCGCCCUGUGGUCCGGCCUGGGACCCACCCUCGUCUCCGCCCUGCCCUCCACCAUCAUCUACUUCGUGGCCUACGAGCAGUUCAGGGCCAAGUACCUCGAGGUGUAUAAGAGGCACUGGAAGAGUAGUCCGGAACCCCGGCAGCUGGAUAUGGAAUUCAGGGACACCAAGACGAGUCUGCCGCUGGUGGUUCCCAUGAUGUCAGGGGUCACGGCCCGGAUUUGUGCAGUUACUGUGGUGAGUCCCAUCGAGCUGGUAAGAACCAAGAUGCAAGCCCAGCGGCAAACCUACGCCCAGAUGACGCAGUUCGUCAGGAAUGUGGUGGCUCUUCAGGGUGUUUGGGGACUGUGGCGGGGUCUGCGGCCCACGAUCCUCAGGGACGUGCCUUUUUCGGGAAUUUACUGGCCCAUCUACGAGUACCUCAAGCAGAAUCUCGGUCACAGUUCGCAGCCCUCGUUCAGUCUGAGUUUUUUGGCCGGCGUUCUGGCGGGAUCGGUGGCUGCCAUCGUGACCACUCCGUUCGAUGUGGUCAAGACCCACGAGCAGAUCGAGUUUGGAGAGAGGGUCAUCUUCACGGACUCCCCGGCGAGGGACUUCGGAAAGAGGUCGACCUACAGCAGACUGACAGCCAUUUACAGGAUGCACGGAGUGCGGGGACUCUUCGCGGGGUGCGGACCUAGGCUUUUGAAGGUGGCCCCUGCCUGCGCCAUUAUGAUCUCCACCUUCGAGUACAGCAAGUCCUUCUUCUUCCACUACAACGUGAGGCAGCACAACGAGGCCCUACUGUUGAGCAACCCGAAUGCCACGCUGGUCGAGGAGGAUGAAAAUGAGUAGUGCCAUAGGGAGUGGGGCUGUGCAGUCGGGGUGGCUCCCUUUUGUAAAUAAACAGCGCAUAUUUUACGUAACCCCCGUGAGGCGAAUUCAAUAUCCCAAUUAAGCUGCGCGACGCUUUACGUGUUACGUGUUACGUCAAUAAGGCGGGAUCCGGGAAAUCAAUUUGCAUUUUUGCAGCUUAAAGACUGCGUCUGCCUGUUGCUGUUGCGCCCAGUUUCCCGCUCCCCGAGUUGACUUUUAAUGGAAUAUUCAUUCAUUUACAUUAACUGCAAUUUGAGCGAGCGCAAGGGAAAUUGAACGGAAUUGCCAAAGAGCUGUGAGUCCAGCCCAAGUUUUUCGCCGGCAAUAAUCGAAUCUCCUUUGUUGGCAGGUCACGUUUUGCCACAGUUUCGGCCACCGCAAAUACCAUUUGAGCCCAGGGCGUCGUGACCAAAAAGUAUGGCAAGAUUGAGUGCUACUGAAAAUCUAUAAAUCACAGUCGGAAAUAUCGAAACUAAGCGAGUAAUUAAGAAGAGUUUGUUUGCCUCAGGGGCCUGUGGCUGAACUUAAUUGCAUUUUGCUCGAAGAUGUUGUUUCCUUUUAUUUCUUUAGCACACAAAAAUUUUGCUCGAAUGGUUCGCCUAUUACAAAAAACUGUCCAAGCGAAAAUUUCCUUUUUGUGUGUCCUUUGUUUUUAUUAAAGUGCAAACAAAGUACACAAAGCAUU